CCUACGGGGGGCAGCAGUGAGGAAUAUUGGUCAAUGGACGAGAGUCUGAACCAGCCAAGUAGCGUGAAGGAUGACUGCCCUAUUUGUUGUAAACUUCUUUUAUAAAGGAAUAAAACGCGGCACGUGUGCCUUUUUGCAUGUACUUUAUGAAUAAGGAUCGGCUAACUCCGUGCCAGCAGCCGCGGUAAUACGGAGGAUCCGAGCGUUAUCCGGAUUUAUUGGGUGUAAAGGGAGCGUAGAUGGGUUGUUAAGUCAGUUGUGAAAGUUUGCGGCUCAACCGUAAAAUUGCAAUUGAUACUGGCAGUCGUGAGUACAGUUGAGGUAGGCGGAAUUCGUGGUGUAGCGGUGAAAUGCUUAGAUAUCACGAAGAACCCUGAUUGCGAAGGCAGCUUACUAAACUGUGACUGACAUUGAGGCUCGAAAGUGUGGGUAUCAAACAGGAUUAGAUACCCCGGUAGUC
Molecule: ribosomal RNA, 460 nt
Filed under: uncultured bacterium
Lineage: Bacteria
Description: partial 16S ribosomal RNA
Rfam family: Bacterial small subunit ribosomal RNA
Source: RNAcentral